RNAcentral lists this long non-coding RNA (421 nucleotides) under Salmo salar (Atlantic salmon). RNAcentral describes it as "lncRNA (ENSSSAG00000107933.1, ENSSSAG00020077858.1, ENSSSAG00075061654.1)". Lineage: Eukaryota; Metazoa; Chordata; Actinopteri; Salmoniformes; Salmonidae. The record is from RNAcentral.
GUAAACACCUAUCUCAAGUGCAAUUGUACUUUUCCCAUUGAAGUUGUCAUGAGUGCCCGCAAUGGUUUAAGCCACAUUCAUUGCAUUAUUGGCCAAUUAUAUUUACUGUUCUUCAAUGAGGGACGUAAUGAAUGGCCAAUGCUCAGUCACUCAUCUCUGAAUAGAAUACCGGUUACCAGGGAUACCGAGAGAGGAGAGAGGUAUUUUGAAUGACGUCAAUAUGCAUUGAUACUCUAUUAUCGACAAUAAUGACUUCCCCGGGACCAUACGCGCAUGAUAAGAGGUCUAUUCUGAAGUAGGACGAGGAGGUGCUCGUGCUGAGGAAAAGUUACAGUCUUGUCCCAUCACUGCAACUCCCAUACGGACUCGGGAGAGGUGAAGGUCGUGAGCCAUGUGUCCUCCGAAACACAACCCAGCCAAG